This is a long non-coding RNA of Alligator mississippiensis (American alligator), 1526 nucleotides long. RefSeq lists it as uncharacterized. NCBI's taxonomy places the organism in Eukaryota, Metazoa, Chordata, Crocodylia, Alligatoridae. The transcript has 3 exons. The record is from RefSeq and is a predicted model, not a curated record.
GUUGGGACAACAUCUGCUGGUGGGAGUACUGCUGCUCCCAGGAACAUUCUGGAGGUCAGGAUAGGAACUCUGCAGAGGGAGAAGGUUCCUAGGCACCUAGCGGGGUGGGCCCAAGCCCCGAGGAAAUGGCUACAGGCCUAGGGAGAGCAAGGCCAGCCUAGGAGAGGGGCUUAAAGAGUGUGAGCCUACUGAGGGGCUAAGCAAGCCCCUGAUUAGAGCUGGUGAUGGGGCCUGGGACUCAGAUGAGCCUAGAUGAGUAAAAGGGCUGCUGGAUGAGAUCUCUGGGGGUUCUAGGCAAGCCUAGGGAAGUUAGUGGUUUUAUGGUGGAACCAAGAGGAACCCCUACUGAGUAGAAAGGGUUGGCUGCUGAUGGAUUGGCCCAGGGCUUUUGAUUGGCCCAAGCUCUCUCUCUCGAGAUGACCAGUGAGAGAGCGGAGGGGUCAGACACCAGGCAGGCUGGUAUGAGGCAGUCCCUGGGAAAUGGUACACCAGUGCCUCCCUAGUGAAAAGCAUGUAUGGGGUACUGGAAAGCCUCAGCCCCCGCUGCCUUGCAGGUGACCCUGUGGAGGGGAAAGGCUAGGGAAACACACCGAGAGAAAGGCACCAGGCUUAGAAGGCAUAGCAGGGGUCAGGAGGGCCCAAGGCCUGAGAGAGUGAGGCUUGGGCAACAACAUAGGGGCCAGGAAGGCUGGAGGCACAAGGCUUGAGGAAGAGUGAGGCCUAGUGAGCGGCCUGGAUGAGAGCUUGAGGCCGAGUAGGAGGCCUGAAUAAGAGUAGGGCAUAGGAGGAGGCCUGACUGAGAGUGAGGCCUAGGUACAUUGACAGAUACCUGAGGCCUGAGUGGACUGUAGGGCAAAUUGGGGGUCCAGGCAUGUCAACAGACACCUGAGGCCCAUGGGACAUAAGGCCCCAUAACCCUGGUUAGGGGGCAAAGUAGUGACCCUAGCAAGAGGGUAGAGUGUGAGGGGCUAGGAGCCUAAUGAGAGGCAAGGAGCCAGUGUGCAUGGGAAUAGAGGCCCCAGUCAUGUCUAAAGACGCCUGAGGCCAAGUUGGGCCAGAGGCCAAGUGUAGCCCAGCAACAGGGCUGGGGGAGUGGGAAGUGAUCCUUGGAUGUCAUCUGUGAGGUAUGGGACAUUGUGUAGGGGUGGUACAGAGUUGUGUAUUAUGCCCUUGGCAUUAGGGCAUCAAAAUGGACAGCUUCCCACCUAGAAACAACUUUUCGUCAAUUACAUUAAAGACGUGGCAGGGUCUACCAGAUCAUUGGCCAAUUGGCAUCAUCUCCUAUGGUGAGCUGCCAUACUGUCGGAAGUCCCCCUCCUCCUUCCUGAUGGUGUCUGACAUCACCAAGCACAAGAGUGAUGGGAUGAGCCUGCCCCAGGCCCUCUGCCACCUAGUGCUGCAGUGAUAGGACGCAUCUACACGAGACAUGUUGACAUGCAUUAGCCUAAUUUACAGACAGACAGAGAGAAAAUAUUAUUUGGGGGAGCUGACCGUGUGAGAGUAUCUGCACACCGCCCCCACCCCCC